Molecule: ribosomal RNA, 253 nt
Filed under: uncultured bacterium
Lineage: Bacteria
Description: partial 16S ribosomal RNA
Rfam family: Bacterial small subunit ribosomal RNA
Source: RNAcentral
UACGUGGGUGGCAAGCGUUGUCCGGAUUUACUGGGCGUAAAGAGCGCGCAGGCGGUCGUGCAAGUCGCGUGUGAAAGCCCCCGGCUCAACUGGGGAGGGUCACGCGAUACUGCUCGACUCGAAGGCAGGAGAGGGAAGUGGAAUUCCCGGUGUAGUGGUGAAAUGCGUAGAUAUCGGGAGGAACACCAGUGGCGAAGGCGACUUCCUGGCCUGUUCUUGACGCUGAGGCGCGAAAGCUAGGGUAGCAAACGGG